RNAcentral lists this ribosomal RNA (497 nucleotides) under uncultured bacterium. Its description in RNAcentral is "partial 16S ribosomal RNA". It matches the Rfam family "Bacterial small subunit ribosomal RNA", at positions 28 to 507 of the family's 1533-position model. The record is from RNAcentral.
GACGAACGCUGGCGGCGUGCCUAAUACAUGCAAGUAGAACGCUGAAGAGAGGAGCUUGCUCUUCUUGGAUGAGUUGCGAACGGGUGAGUAACGCGUAGGUAACCUGCCUGGUAGCGGGGGAUAACUAUUGGAAACGAUAGCUAAUACCGCAUAAAAUUGAUUAUUGCAUGAUAAUUAAUUGAAAGAUGCAACUGCAUCACUACCAGAUGGACCUGCGUUGUAUUAGCUAGUUGGUGAGGUAACGGCUCACCAAGGCGACGAUACAUAGCCGACCUGAGAGGGUGAUCGGCCACACUGAGACUGAGACACGGCCCAGACUCCUACAGGAGGCAGCAGUAGGGAAUCUGCGGCAAUGGGGGGAACCCUGACCGAGCAACGCCGCGUGAGUGAAGAAGGUUUUCGGAUCGUAAAGCUCUGUUGUAAGAGAAGAACGGGUGUGAGAGUGGAAAGUUCACACUGUGACGGUAUCUUACCAGAAAGGGACGGCUAACUACGUG